AGCUUUGGAAAAUCAAUAUCAUUUCACAAAUCUAUCUGUUCUUGGUGACAAACACAAUCUCUUCCGUUUUUUUACUUUCAUCUGCAUAAUAAAGCUCAUUCGAGCUAUUUAUCUUUUGUGUUAAUAAGCUCUUAUGAGCAAAACUACUAUGGGUUUGAAUCUGCUCACAAAUUGAUUGUUUAAGAUAUAUGGUUUCAGGCCGGCUAUUCUUGAAUACGAGAUCCGAGGGUGUGUGGCAGUGAGGAAGGCUCAACCUCCAACCCGAAGAAGUAUGUGGUGUCAAGAAAAUUGAACGAUUGACUUUGGCCAAAUUGCAGCGUGGGUUCACAUCAUUCACAUGCGUUCAAUGCAAUGAGGACAGAACGUUGUUGGAGUUAUAUGACCGUGUACAGGUGCGCGUCUCUGAUGCUACGGAAACUUCGAAUUUUGUUGCUUAAAUCACUAAACUGACCAAUAUACAUGCUGCCGACGUCUCAACCAGCAGUUGCUUAUCAAGGGAUGUGGUGGACAAAACCUUCUACUAGGUCUACAGGGAUGGUUGCUCUGGAAAGAAG
Brassica oleracea var. oleracea is the source of this 554-nucleotide long non-coding RNA. RefSeq lists it as uncharacterized. Lineage: Eukaryota; Viridiplantae; Streptophyta; Magnoliopsida; Brassicales; Brassicaceae. The transcript is spliced from 4 exons. The record is from RefSeq and is a predicted model, not a curated record.